RNAcentral lists this transfer RNA (71 nucleotides) under Bacteroidota bacterium. Its description in RNAcentral is "tRNA-Cys". It matches the Rfam family "tRNA". Rfam says of the family: Transfer RNA (tRNA) molecules are approximately 80 nucleotides in length. Their secondary structure includes four short double-helical elements and three loops (D, anti-codon, and T loops). RNAcentral also lists the same sequence under 10 other names. The record is from RNAcentral. Lineage: Bacteria; Pseudomonadati; Bacteroidota.
GGCGACAUGGCCGAGUGGUUAGGCAGAGGUCUGCAAAACCUCGUACGGCGGUUCGAAUCCGCCUGUCGCCU